This 497-nucleotide ribosomal RNA is filed under the name uncultured bacterium. RNAcentral's name for it is "partial 16S ribosomal RNA". It matches the Rfam family "Bacterial small subunit ribosomal RNA", at positions 28 to 507 of the family's 1533-position model. The record is from RNAcentral.
GAUGAACGCUGGCGGCGUGCCUAAUACAUGCAAGUCGAGCGAACGGACGAGAAGCUUGCUUCUCUGAUGUUAGCGGCGGACGGGUGAGUAACACGUGGAUAACCUACCUAUAAGACUGGGAUAACUUCGGGAAACCGGAGAUAAUACCGGAUAAUAUUUUGAACCGCAUGGUUCAAAAGUGAAAGACGGUCUUGCUGUCACUUAUAGAUGGAUCCGCGCUGCAUUAGCUAGUUGGUAAGGUAACGGCUUACCAAGGCAACGAUGCAUAGCCGACCUGAGAGGGUGAUCGGCCACACUGGAACUGAGACACGGUCCAGACUCCUACGGGAGGCAGCAGUAGGGAAUCUUCCACAAUGGGCGAAAGCCUGACGGAGCAACGCCGCGUGAGUGAUGAAGGUCUUCGGAUCGUAAAACUCUGUUAUUAGGAAAGAACAUAUGUGUAAGUAACUGUGCACAUCUUGACGGUACCUAAUCAGAAAGCCACGGCUAACUACGUG